AAAUUCUGAGAAGGUGAACACCCAGGAGCUGGUUAAUGCUCAAACCACGACGGAUCUAGAUUACGGAGAGAGAACUCCGACUCUAGAGGAAUGAAUGGAGGAGACGAAUGAGAAGAAGAACUAUGAAGAAGAUGAUAUUUUAAGUAUAUA
This 150-nucleotide small RNA is filed under the name Arabidopsis thaliana (thale cress). Its description in RNAcentral is "ATSL083870". The record is from RNAcentral. Lineage: Eukaryota; Viridiplantae; Streptophyta; Magnoliopsida; Brassicales; Brassicaceae.